RNAcentral lists this ribosomal RNA (481 nucleotides) under uncultured bacterium. Its description in RNAcentral is "bacterial SSU rRNA". It matches the Rfam family "Bacterial small subunit ribosomal RNA", at positions 355 to 852 of the family's 1533-position model. The record is from RNAcentral.
UGGGGAAUCUUGGACAAUGGGGGCAACCCUGAUCCAGCCAUGCCGCGUGAGUGAUGAAGGCCUUAGGGUCGUAAAGCUCUUUCGCCUGUGAAGAUAAUGACGGUAGCAGGUAAAGAAACCCCGGCUAACUCCGUGCCAGCAGCCGCGGUAAUACGGAGGGGGUUAGCGUUGUUCGGAAUUACUGGGCGUAAAGCGCACGUAGGCGGACCAGAAAGUUGGGGGUGAAAUCCCGGGGGCUCAACCCCGGAACUGCCUCCAAAACUAUUGGUCUAGAGUUCGAGAGAGGUGAGUGGAAUUCCAAGUGUAGAGGUGAAAUUCGUAGAUAUUUGGAGGAACACCAGUGGCGAAGGCGGCUCACUGGCUCGAUACUGACGCUGAGGUGCGAAAGUGUGGGGAGCAAACAGGAUUAGAUACCCUGGUAGUCCACACCGUAAAACGAUGAAUGCCAGUUGUCGGGUAGCAUGCUAUUCGGUGACACACC